This 440-nucleotide ribosomal RNA is filed under the name uncultured Gracilibacter sp. RNAcentral describes it as "partial 16S ribosomal RNA". The record is from RNAcentral. Lineage: Bacteria; Bacillati; Bacillota; Clostridia; Eubacteriales; Gracilibacteraceae.
GACUACUAGGGUAUCUAAUCCUGUUUGCUCCCCACGCUUUCGCGCCUCAGCGUCAGUUACAGUCCAGUAAGUCGCCUUCGCCACUGGUGUUCCUCCUAAUAUCUACGCAUUUCACCGCUACACUAGGAAUUCCACUUACCUCUCCUGCACUCAAGCUCCCCAGUUUCAAAUGCACUCCCGAAGUUAAGCCUCGGGUUUUCACAUCUGACUUAAAGAGCCGCCUACGCGCCCUUUACGCCCAGUAAUUCCGGACAACGCUCGCCACCUACGUAUUACCGCGGCUGCUGGCACGUAGUUAGCCGUGGCUUCCUCCUCUGGUACCGUCAUUAUCGUCCCAGAAGACAGGAGUUUACAAUCCGAAAACCUUCUUCCUCCACGCGGCGUUGCUGCGUCAGGGUUUCCCCCAUUGCGCAAUAUUCCCCACUGCUGCCCCCCGUAGG